This 5847-nucleotide long non-coding RNA is filed under the name Triticum aestivum (bread wheat). RNAcentral describes it as "long non-coding RNA (TAES_LNC004394)". Lineage: Eukaryota; Viridiplantae; Streptophyta; Magnoliopsida; Poales; Poaceae. The record is from RNAcentral.
UCGCACGCACGAGCGAGCGAGGCGUGUACCCUCGAGCGAGAACGAGGCCACACCACCACAUCCCUUCGCCGCCGCCUCGCACUUGCAUCCCUGCGCAGGUUGCGCUACCUCGACGGACCCUUUGCCGCCGCUGAGAUCCGAGAAGAGUCUCCCUUCGCCGCCGCCAAGAUCCCGUGCCUCUCUACAGAUCCCCCUCUCUCUUCUUCGCCCAUCCACCUAGAUCGAAAACCGUCGCCCCUUGGUCGCUGCUGGUGCUCGAGGGAAGACGAGGGCGGCUCCUCCCGGCGAUUCCGCGUGCGAGUAUAAAUCCAGCUCGGUAUGAAUCGCUGUUUUUUUUCCUAUGUUGUAAUCUGAUACACAUGCGAGUAUAAAUCAAAGUUUUCCCAUACAGCUUAUAAGUGUACUGUGCGCUGAUGUGGUCCCUUGGAAAAGUUCUAAAUACUCCUCAAGUUAUGCGUGUCUACAACUCUACAUUGGGUAAUACUUGUCUUCUAUCGUUCAUCACCUUUUCUCUGUAAUGUAAUGAUGCUUUAGUUAUCUUGUUACUUCUGGAAACUGACGGCUGUACAGUUCUAAUGUACUUUCAAUGAAAAAAAACCUACUUUAAAUAUUUCUGGAAAACCAAAAUAUAGUGCGAAAAUCCAGCACACAGUGGUUGCAGGAGUGAUUGUGUGGUCAUGUUUUUGCAUUGUAAGUUUGUAACCAGAAACUCACGUCCAAACUAAUAUUUGCCGGUCGUUUAAUGACAAGCCUGUGAGUCCCAGUACGGAAAAUUAACUAGGGCCAUUUGACCUACAGUUAGGGAGAUUGUUACUUGAGCGCAUACAUCCAAUGAAUACUGUAACUUGAGUACGUAUAGCCAGAGCAAUAAGAUAUUUCGGACACAGCCUGGAGAUUGGGCUUGACAAGCAAAAGCUUGUGUACAUCAUAGUGACUGCUCUUUAUGCUGGGUCAACUAAUGUGUGCCUUGUCUCUUACUGGCCCUGUUGGAUGCGUUCCCGACAGUCCAGUUCGCCUGUUUCACAUCAAUGUAAGCCAUUAAGGACGACCUUGUCUUUGCUCGCAUCGCGGUGCAGCGAACGGGCACGCGGUUGAACACACCAUGACUUCAGUUGCAAUUGCAGAAGCUGCUACCCGAGCCAUGAUUCAACAGAGGUCAGUGAGGAAGUUUGGGUUCUCACUCUCCUUUUCCACACUGCCGAUGUGGAGGUGGCAACUGGAUUGGUUAGUUUCCCAUGUUAUUUCCCUUUGUUUACUUUUCAUUACCACCUGGCUCAUCUACCUUUUCCUGAUCAAAAGGCUCUCAUCAUCUCCCUCACUUUGUUUGCUGUAAUAACCAAUCUACUAUCUUCAUUUAUACUUGUGCUGUUUCUUAGUAUGAGUUGUCUUUGGUCAGCUGAUUAUGUGUUAACUGUGGAUUAAUUUGGGUGUAGCAAAAACUUUUGGGUACAGACCUUGGUUGUUUAUUCAAUGUACUUGUUAGCCGUAAACCAUGCCAGGCCGUUGGAGGUCAGUGCUGGUCGUUGCAAGCUGUUGGGCAGGCCCGCGUUGCGUGCGGUUAUGCGCGUCGUGUGCGUGGAGAGCCCGGCCAGGUCGUGUGUGUCUGGGUGUUGUUUGACCAUAAUCUGGGCACUGUCUAAGUAGUGUAUGGCCAGUGUACGUGGUGUGCGUGUGUGUCCAUUGGUCAAAUCGGGGCUGGGCGGAAGCAGGGAUGGUCGAGCCGUAGGCCGUUGACGAGCGCAGUGCAGGAGCAAGGCGUGGAGGCCGGGUCUCGCGGAAGAGCAGUUGGCUCACGUUCGAGAAAGGCCGAGCCUCCAGGAGAUCGUGUACAUGCGCGUGGAGCUUGACAGAGGGCGUUGCGUGGGCAUUGCGUCGUUGACAGGCUAUAAGAGCUCUUGUAAUCCUUGUGUGUAUGGCUGUGCCAGCUAGUUGGAUAAUGGAAAACGGCGUCUAUGCGCCGAGGCGUUUGAGCGCCGGGAAAAUCCACUGAUGUCUCCUCUUUCUUCUACCUACGUUCGUGCGAGUGAGAGAGAGCGGGAGGGAGCUGGGCACCGGCGCAAGGAGCAAGCUAGGGCUCGGCGCCAACAAUUGGUAUCAGAGCUUCGUUAUCUUGGGCGUCGUUCUCCUUGCCGGAGGCGUGCCGGCGGUGGCGGAGUUCGCCGGCGGCUGCGCGAUGCUCCGGGCCGUGUGUCGGUCUAUGGAGGUGCGCGGCGCGGCGAGGAGGCAGCGGUGGCUGCGGCGGCACGGUGAGGAGGCCGCGGAGGAUCUGUGUGGUGGCGGCUUCAACGACACACAGCGGCAUGGCGGCAUGGAGGUGCUGCGCUGCGGUUGAGGCCGCAGCGGUGCAGGGUAAUAAGCCGCCGGCGAGCCGGGCGCGACCGGUGCGUGUUAUGGGUGCGCACUGGACGUGUCAAGCGCGUCGGGACCGCGGGCGCGCGUACGAGCGUGCGGUUGACGUUGGGAGGAGGCGUAUGUCGCGGUUGUGCUCGAGUCCGUGCUCGAGUUCGGCUACAUCCUUCCGGUGUUUGUCGCUGGAGUUCGCGUCGGAGCGCGACGGGUGCGCCGGCCGGGGAGUGCGGGGCGUGGCGAAUGCAGCGGAGGAGUGACCGCGUCGGGGCGCUGGACUCGGGCCGUGGCGACUGCGUGCGUGCGCUUCGUGUACACGAGCCUGGGAGCGCGGGACGUGGGGUGCUGCGCGGCGGAGGCCGCAGCGGCGCGGUGCGACGGUCAUGACGACGACGACGACGACGGAAGCCGCAACAACUCCAGCGACGCCAGGUCGUGGUUUAGGGGGAGAAAUGUUAGCCGUAAACCAUGCCAGGCCGUUGGAGGUCAGUGCUGGUCGUUGCAAGCUGUUGGGCAGGCCCGCGUUGCGUGCGGUUAUGCGCGUCGUGUGCGUGGAGAGCCCGGCCAGGUCGUGUGUGUCUGGGUGUUGUCUGACCAUAAUCUGGGCACUGUCUAAGUAGUGUAUGGCCAGUGUACGUGGUGUGCAUGUGUGUCCAUUGGUCAGAUCGGGGCUGGGCGGAAGCAGGGAUGGCCGAGCCGCAGGCCGUUGACGAGCGCAGUGGAGGAGCAAGGCGUGGAGGCCGGGUCUCGCGGAAGAGCAGUUGGCUCACGUUCGAGAAAGGCCGAGCCUCCAGGAGAUCGUGUACGUGCGCGUGGAGCUUGGCAGAGGGUGUUGCGUGGGCAUUGCGUCGUUGACAGGUUAUAAGAGCUCUUGUAAUCCUUGUGUGUCUGGCUGUGCCAGCUAGUUGGAUAAUGGAAAACGGCGUCUAUGCGCCGAGGCGUUUGAGCGCCGGGAAAAUCCACUAAUGUCUCCUCUUUCUUCUACCUUCGUUCGUGCGAGUGAGAGAGAGCGGGAGGGAGCUGGGCACCGGCGCAAGGAGCAAGCUAGGGCUCGGCGCCAACAGUACUAAGGAGCCACCAUUGCAACCUUAACAAGGUUUUCGAGCAUCUUGCUUAAUUCACCAUUGGUAUCACCACGUUUUAAUUAAUAUUCUGGAUUACUGUUUCAUCCCACAGUCAUCUACAACACUUGCAGGUCAAAACAUUUGCAUACCAUAGUUUGGACAACCAAUAGACCCCUAGAAUCUGCUGCAUGGAGUGAGUUACCAAAUAGACAUGCAUAUGAUUUUUUUUCUAUCACUAUUACAAUAUAUGGCUAUCAAUUUUUUAUUCAUUCCAUGAUUCAUUGCUCUUGUUAUUUCCUGAGGUAUUUGUUGCCACUUAUUAUUUUUUAUGGAGAUCUGGGUGGGUGUUUCUAGACACAAAUAAUUUUCUUUGUUGGUUUAUACGUUGCAUCUUAGGUUAAAUUAGUCAAUGAUGAUAAGGAAUGAAAUGUGGCCAUUGGUUAAUGGAUCUUUAGUGGAAUAGAUGUGAAAAGCAACAAUGAUAUACCCUGUAAAUUUGUGGGACCACAAAACCAAGUACCUUGUUGAAUAUAGAAUACUCUGAAUGCUUGAACUCAAAUAUUGGUCAUGUUAGUGUUGACAGUGGUGAACAUUAGUCAGAUUGCCAUUGAUUGAGUUGUCAACACCGAUGAUUGGGGUUGUUUUUUCUGGUUGAACAAUGCCAACAUCGCAUAGUGGGUCAUCUCAAUUUCAUGUGACCUGAAAUUGUGAUGUCUUUGAAUAUAUUUUGAUCUGACGAGGUACUAAUAUUUUGGUCAACUAUAAAAUAUUUGCUUCUCUGUGCCGCAAUAUAAACUUAUUCUUACUGUAUUAUCCUCAGUUAUUCUGAUAGGACCAUAGGAGUUCAAGAUUACUUGUCUAGAGGUAAUUGUCAGAAGCAGCCUCCGAAGUUUGCUUGUUUUGAAUUUAGUAUUUGUUGAAGUACAAAAUGUGUUGACUAAAAUGAUGAUUCCGUCAGAAAAAUUGUGUCAUUUGGAAUUAAGAUGUCUAUUGAUCUAUCCUUGUGCAUAACGAUUUGUCAAUACCUUAAGUUAUAGGUGAAGCUUUGCAUUAUUAUUGUCGGACCUAAAUUUCACCGAAGACUUCAAUAGGGGAUGUUGCCUCUUUCACCUGAUUGUUGUGAUUUUUCUUGACUCUCUGUCGUGGGUAAAUCAUAGUGCAAUUGCGUCUCGUAUUCUGUUUGGGCCUGUAGGUGAGUGUUUCCUUGCUUUUUCAUUUCUUAUAAGUUGUCGUUCUUUUGUUGCUUAUAUUAAAGUUUGGAUUUUUUUUUCUUCAGCCUGCAGGGCCAAUUAGGUGUGAGCAAUAAUGCAAUACGUGCAAAUAUUUUCCUUUGAUCUUCAACUCCCAACAUCUCUAAUAUUUCCAUGCGGCUCAGCCAUAUGCCCAAGAGAAUAAAACAACUCUUGCCUUUAGUGGAUACCCAAGAGUAAUUGAUGUUGUUCUGUUUUGAAUGAUGCCUCUAGCUGUGGUAGAAAUGUAUUCAGAAUACAUGGGAAAGCAAAUGCAUGUCAUGGUCAUGUUUAGGGAGGAAAAAUGGGGCAAAUAUCCCAUGUGAGCUUUAUCUUGUACAAAUCAUUUUGUUCUUCUGUGCUCUUGUAAGCGGGUUGUGGUUGAUUCAUAAAUUGGUCCAAUUUGGAUAUUUCCUAAUCAUAAUCAAGAUAUUUCGCACCAUAAAGAUUAAUUAUUGACAGUGUUAGUAAAUCAUGCCUAAUAUUUAUCUCUUUUCUAUCCUUACAGUGACAUGCAAGAUGCAACUGCAAGGAUAAACUGGUUUUUGAACUUCCCUUUCUUGGUCAUGUGACAUUUCAAGUUUGCACAUCUCACAUAUUAGAAUAGAAACAGUAAGCUUAAGUUGUCAUGUGAGCCUCAUGAAACCUGAUUCGUUCAUUAGGCGUGCACUUUAAAUUUUCUCUUUGUUCAUUAUAUUUUCUUGCUUGCUAUAUCCAUGCAAUAUUAAUAAAAUAUCUAUAUUUCAGCUAGAUUUUAUUUAUCAGGUUUUGGAUGGUUUUCUCCGGUACCUCAGAACAUUUUGAAUGUAAUCUCUUUAGGUUCUCGUAUUUAGCUCAUGGCCCGAUCUUUUGUUGAAAGGAAACUCAAGGUUCCAACUUGAUAUGCCCUCUCUUUCAUUUGGUAUAAAUUUGGUGACCUAAAAGCAGUUUUAGGUAUAGGAGAUAGAAAGUGAGGAGGACCUUUUUAGCUUGCUCUUCUCUAACGGAUACAUAAAUUUGUACUAUGAAUCAGGCAUGUGCGUGCGAGGGAGGGAAGAGGAGAGAAACAUUGAGAUUUUUCAUGCUUUGGAUGAACAUUUCUAUUCAUAGCUUUCUUUUUCCAUGGCAGCGCAUGAGCUUGGCGCCAUCGUGGUAGAUCCCGAAAUGUAGGGUGGGUCCAUCGUGGUAGAGCCCCGGGAUGCAGGGUGGGUCCAAUAUAGAACCAAGAG